GCGGUGGUGGUUCAAUGGUAGAAUUCCUGCCUUCCGUGCCGGAGACUUGGGUUCAAUUCCCAACCAAUGCA
RNAcentral lists this transfer RNA (71 nucleotides) under Loxodonta africana (African savanna elephant). It matches the Rfam family "tRNA". From Rfam's summary of the family: Transfer RNA (tRNA) molecules are approximately 80 nucleotides in length. Their secondary structure includes four short double-helical elements and three loops (D, anti-codon, and T loops). Further hydrogen bonds mediate the characteristic L-shaped molecular structure. tRNAs have two regions of fundamental functional importance: the anti-codon, which is responsible for specific mRNA codon recognition, and the 3' end, to which the tRNAs corresponding amino acid is attached (by aminoacyl-tRNA synthetases). tRNAs cope with the degeneracy of the genetic code in two manners: having more than one tRNA (with a specific anti-codon) for a particular amino acid; and 'wobble' base-pairing, i.e. permitting non-standard base-pairing at the 3rd anti-codon position. Lineage: Eukaryota; Metazoa; Chordata; Mammalia; Proboscidea; Elephantidae. The record is from Rfam by way of RNAcentral.